RNAcentral lists this ribosomal RNA (467 nucleotides) under uncultured bacterium. Its description in RNAcentral is "partial 16S ribosomal RNA". It matches the Rfam family "Bacterial small subunit ribosomal RNA", at positions 29 to 507 of the family's 1533-position model. The record is from RNAcentral.
ACGAACGCUGGCGGCGUGCUUAACACAUGCAAGUCGAACGGAAAGGCCCUGCUUUUGUGGGGUUCUCGAGUGGCGAACGGGUGAGUAACACGUGAGUAACCUGCCCUUGACUUUGGGAUAACUUCAGGAAACUGGGGCUAAUACCGGAUAGGAGCUCCUGCUGCAUGGUGGGGGUUGGAAAGUUUCGGCGGUUGGGGAUGGGCUCGCGGCUUAUCAGCUUGUUGGUGGGGUAGUGGCUUACCAAGGCUUUGACGGGUAGCCGGCCUGAGAGGGUGACCGGCCACAUUGGGACUGAGAUACGGCCCAGACUCCUACGGGAGGCAGCAGUGGGGAAUAUUGCACAAUGGGCGGAAGCCUGAUGCAGCAACGCCGCGUGCGGGAUGACGGCCUUCGGGUUGUAAACCGCUUUCGCCUGUGACGAAGCGUGAGUGACGGUAAUGGGUAAAGAAGCACCGGCUAACUACGUG